RNAcentral lists this ribosomal RNA (600 nucleotides) under Ophiocomina nigra. Its description in RNAcentral is "eukaryotic LSU rRNA". It matches the Rfam family "Eukaryotic large subunit ribosomal RNA", at positions 41 to 525 of the family's 3401-position model. Lineage: Eukaryota; Metazoa; Echinodermata; Ophiuroidea; Amphilepidida; Ophiocomidae. The record is from RNAcentral.
UAUUACUAAGCGGAGGAAAAGAAACUAACCAGGAUUCCCUCAGUAGCGGCGAGUGAAGCGGGAAAAGCCCAUCGCCGAAUCCCCGCGUCCAAGUGGCGUGCGGGAAAUGUGGCGUAAGGAAGCCGUGGCUAACCGGGGACGUGGAGCCGACGUCCUUGUGAAGGAGGCCCUCAUCCUAUAGAGUGUGUUAGGCCCCCGCAGGCGCCCGUCGCCGGUAGCCUUCAGGCUUUCAAGAGUCGGGUUGUUUUGGAAUGCAGCCCAAAGACGGGUGGUAAACUCCAUCCAAGGCUAAAUACUAGGCACGAGACCGAUAGAUAACAAGUACCAUGAGGGAAAGUUGAAAAGAACUUUGAAGAGAGAGUUCAAUAGGACGUGAAGCUGCCGAGAAGUAAACGGAAGGGCCCCGCACACCGUGGCCGGGAGAUUCAGCGCAGGGUGAGGCUUCGGCGCCCCGCACCGUCUGUGGAUUCCACUCUGGNAACCCUGGCGGAUCGGGUCNAUGCAGCCGCCCGUCGCGCGCAUUUCUCCCGUGCCUCUGGGGUUGGCGACCGACCGUUGAUCGGCCGAUUGGACGCGGCGAAAGCAGGUAUCUCGUUUGGC